This 24-nucleotide non-coding RNA is filed under the name Drosophila melanogaster (fruit fly). The record is from RNAcentral. RNAcentral also lists the same sequence under 5 other names. Lineage: Eukaryota; Metazoa; Arthropoda; Insecta; Diptera; Drosophilidae.
GGUCUAGUGGUUAGGAUUCGGCGC